CGCUAGCUACAGGCUUAACACAUGCAAGUCGAGGGGCAGCAUGGUCUUAGCUUGCUAAGGCCGAUGGCGACCGGCGCACGGGUGAGUAACACGUAUCCAACCUGCCGUCUACUCUUGGACAGCCUUCUGAAAGGAAGAUUAAUACAAGAUGGCAUCAUGAGUCCACAUGUUCACAUGAUUAAAGGUAUUCCGGUAGACGAUGGGGAUGCGUUCCAUUAGAUAGUAGGCGGGGUAACGGCCCACCUAGUCUUCGAUGGAUAGGGGUUCUGAGAGGAAGGUCCCCCACAUUGGAACUGAGACACGGUCCAAACUCCUACGGGAGGCAGCAGUGAGGAAUAUUGGUCAAUGGGCGAGAGCCUGAACCAGCCAAGUAGCGUGAAGGAUGACUGCCCUAUGGGUUGUAAACUUCUUUUAUAAAGGAAUAAAGUCGGGUAUGCAUACCCGUUUGCAUGUACUUUAUGAAUAAGGAUCGGCUAACUCCGUGCCAGCAGCCGCGGUAAUACGGAGGAUCCGAGCGUUAUCCGGAUUUAUUGGGUUUAAAGGGAGCGUAGAUGGAUGUUUAAGUCAGUUGUGAAAGUUUGCGGCUCAACCGUAAAAUUGCAGUUGAUACUGGAUAUCUUGAGUGCAGUUGAGGCAGGCGGAAUUCGUGGUGUAGCGGUGAAAUGCUUAGAUAUCACGAAGAACUCCGAUUGCGAAGGCAGCCUGCUAAGCUGCAACUGACAUUGAGGCUCGAAAGUGUGGGUAUCAAACAGGAUUAGAUACCCUGGUAGUCCACACGGUAAACGAUGAAUACUCGCUGUUUGCGAUAUACAGCAAGCGGCCAAGCGAAAGCGUUAAGUAUUCCACCUGGGGAGUACGCCGGCAACGGUGAAACUCAAAGGAAUUGACGGGGGCCCGCACAAGCGGAGGAACAUGUGGUUUAAUUCGAUGAUACGCGAGGAACCUUACCCGGGCUUAAAUUGCAGAUGAAUUACGGUGAAAGCCGUAAGCCGCAAGGCAUCUGUGAAGGUGCUGCAUGGUUGUCGUCAGCUCGUGCCGUGAGGUGUCGGCUUAAGUGCCAUAACGAGCGCAACCCUUGUUGUCAGUUACUAACAGGUCAUGCUGAGGACUCUGACAAGACUGCCAUCGUAAGAUGUGAGGAAGGUGGGGAUGACGUCAAAUCAGCACGGCCCUUACGUCCGGGGCUACACACGUGUUACAAUGGGGGGUACAGAGGGCCGCUACCACGCGAGUGGAUGCCAAUCCCAAAAACCUCUCUCAGUUCGGACUGGAGUCUGCAACCCGACUCCACGAAGCUGGAUUCGCUAGUAAUCGCGCAUCAGCCACGGCGCGGUGAAUACGUUCCCGGGCCUUGUACACACCGCCCGUCAAGCCAUGGGAGCCGGGGGUACCUGAAGUGCGUAACCGCGAGGAGCGCCCUAGGGUAAAACUGGUGACAGG
Molecule: ribosomal RNA, 1440 nt
Filed under: uncultured organism
Description: SSU rRNA
Rfam family: Bacterial small subunit ribosomal RNA
Source: RNAcentral